RNAcentral lists this ribosomal RNA (263 nucleotides) under uncultured bacterium. Its description in RNAcentral is "partial 16S ribosomal RNA". It matches the Rfam family "Bacterial small subunit ribosomal RNA", at positions 793 to 1055 of the family's 1533-position model. The record is from RNAcentral.
GUCCAUGCUGUAAACGUUGUGAACUUGACGUGGGUGGAUUUAACCCCUUCCGUGUCGGAGCUAACGCGAUAAGUUCACCGCCUGGGGACUACGGCCGCAAGGCUAAAACUCAAAGAAAUUGACGGGGGCCCGCACAAGCGGUGGAGCAUGUGGCUCAAUUCGAUGCAACGCGAAGAACCUUACCUAGAUUUGACAUAUACCUGACAGCUGUGGAAACACAGUCUUUCGCAAGAACAGGUAUACAGGUGCUGCAUGGCUGUCGU